GAUGAACGCUGGCGGCGUGCCUAAUACAUGCAAGUCGAGCGAACAGAUGAGGAGUUUGCUCCUCUGACGUUAGCGGCGGACGGGUGAGUAACACGUGGAUAACCUACCUAUCAGACUGGGAUAACUUCGGGACACCGGCGCUAAUACCGGAUAAUAUAUUGAACCGCAUGGUUCAAUAGUGAAAGACGGUUUUGCUGUCACUUCUAGAUGGAUCCGCGCCGCAUUAGCUAGUUGGUAAGGUAACGGCUUACCAAGGCAACGAUGCGUAACCGACCUGCGAGGGUGAUCGGCCACACUGGAACUGAGACACGGUCCAGACUCCUACGGGAGGCAGCAGUAGGGAAUCUGCCGCAAUGGGCGAAAGCCUGACGGAGCAACGCCGCGUGAGUGAUGAAGGUCUUCGGAUCGUAAAACUCUGUUAUUAGGGAAGAACAAAUGUGUAAGUAACUAUGCACGUCUUGACGGUACCUAAUCAGAAAGCCACGGCUAACUACGUG
This 497-nucleotide ribosomal RNA is filed under the name uncultured bacterium. Its description in RNAcentral is "partial 16S ribosomal RNA". It matches the Rfam family "Bacterial small subunit ribosomal RNA", at positions 28 to 507 of the family's 1533-position model. The record is from RNAcentral.